GAGUUUGAUCUUGGCUCAGAACGAACGCUGGCGGCGUGGAUAAGACAUGCAAGUCGAACGGGAGAAUUGCUAGCUUGCUAAUAAUUCUCUAGUGGCGCACGGGUGAGUAACACGUGAGUAACCUGCCCCCGAGAGCGGGAUAGCCCUGGGAAACUGGGAUUAAUACCGCAUAGUAUCGAAAGAUUAAAGCAGCAAUGCGCUUGGGGAUGGGCUCGCGGCCUAUUAGUUAGUUGGUGAGGUAACGGCUCACCAAGGCGAUGACGGGUAGCCGGUCUGAGAGGAUGUCCGGCACACUGGAACUGAGACACGGUCCAGACACCUACGGGUGGCAGCAGUCGAGAAUCAUUCACAAUGGGGGAAACCCUGAUGGUGCGACGCCGCGUGGGGAAUGAAGGUCUUCGGAUUGUAAACCCUGUCAUGUGGGAGCAAAUUAAAAGAUAGUACCACAAGAGGAAGAGACGGCUAAACUCUGUGACGAG
This 479-nucleotide ribosomal RNA is filed under the name uncultured microorganism. RNAcentral describes it as "bacterial SSU rRNA". It matches the Rfam family "Bacterial small subunit ribosomal RNA", at positions 9 to 512 of the family's 1533-position model. The record is from RNAcentral.